Molecule: long non-coding RNA, 447 nt
Filed under: Linum usitatissimum (flax)
Lineage: Eukaryota; Viridiplantae; Streptophyta; Magnoliopsida; Malpighiales; Linaceae
Description: long non-coding RNA (LUSI_LNC001591)
Source: RNAcentral
CAAAUCUUCAUCUUCAAGAUGAAGGUCAUUGCUCAAACUAUUCUUUGGUUUUCUUUCCACGUACCAUAUAUGAUCAGAUGUGUCAGGCCUAUUAUCGGAGAUGACAGAAAUUGGAUUUGUAUCCUGAUGGCCAGUCCUUAAUUUGUGGCUUGAUUGAACGGGCCGUUUGUCUAAAUUUGCUGAGUUUUUUACAUAGGAGGACUUGAUGACAGGUGGAUCUCUGUGAACAAUGGGCGGAAAUGCUUCAUGAUUAUUACUCGCGGCAUGUACAAGGUUUUUGUUGUCUUUACCUUGUCCUAAACUACAUUCAUUUAUCACAGAACCUGUUAUUCACAAUUACUAGUCAGUGAAAUAUUACUGCAUCGGAUGUAUAGUUGGCAUAGCUACUAGUGUCAUAUUCAAACACCAGCAGCAUUGUAGCAUGAUGCCAAGCUUUUAUAAGUGGUU